Molecule: ribosomal RNA, 377 nt
Filed under: uncultured eukaryote
Lineage: Eukaryota
Description: partial 18S ribosomal RNA
Rfam family: Eukaryotic small subunit ribosomal RNA
Source: RNAcentral
CAAUAGCGUAUAUUUAAGUUGCUGCAGUUAAAAAGCUCGUAGUUGGAUUUCGGGUGGGAAUGGCCGGUCCGCCGUUUCGGUGUGCACUUGCUACGCCCACCUUGCUGCCGGGGACGUGCUCUUGAGUUCACGCUCGGGACACGGAGUCGGCGAGGUUACUUUGAGUAAGUUAGAGUGUUCAAAGCAGGCCUACGCUCUGAAUACAUUAGCAUGGAAUAACACGAUAGGACUCUGGCCUAUCUUGUUGGUCUGUAGGACCGGAGUAAUGAUUAAGAGGGACAGUCGGGGGCAUUCGUAUUUCAUUGUCAGAGGUGAAAUUCUUGGAUUUAUGAAAGACGAACUACUGCGAAAGCAUUUGCCAAGGAUGUUUUCAUUAA